Molecule: long non-coding RNA, 942 nt
Organism: Neopsephotus bourkii (Bourke's parrot)
Lineage: Eukaryota; Metazoa; Chordata; Aves; Psittaciformes; Psittacidae
Exons: 3
Source: RefSeq, a predicted model, not a curated record
GGCUAUGGGCUCCAUCCUGAGCAUGUUACAGUGGUGUAGGAGAUACGGGGUCUGGAGCAUGCAGUGGGAUGUAUGACUUGGGAGGUAUGGGCUCCAUACUGUGCACAUGGAUGUACCAUACAGGAGGUAUGGGCUCCAUACGUGCACAUGGAUGUACCAUACAGAAGGUAUGGGCUCCAUACUGUGCACAUGGAUGUACCAUACAGGAGGUAUGGGCUCCAUACCGUGCACACGGAUGUACCAUACAGGAGGUAUGGGCUCCAUACCGUGCACACGGAUGUACCAUACAGGAGGUAUGGGCUCCAUACCAUGCACACGGAUGUACCAUACAGGAGGUAUGGGCUCCAUACCAUGCACACGGAUGUACCAUACAGGAGGUAUGGGCUCCAUACCGUGCACAUGGAUGUACCAUACAGGAGGUAUGGGCUCCAUACCAUGCACAUGGAUGUACCAUACAGGAGGUAUGGGCUCCAUACCGUGCACAUGGAUGUACCAUACAGAAGGUAUGGGCUCCAUACCGUGCACAUGGAUGUACCAUACAGAAGGUAUGGGUUCCAUACUGUGCACACGGAUGUACCAUACAGGAGGUAUGGGCUCCAUACCGUGCACAUGGAUGUACCAUACAGGAGGUAUGGGCUCCAUACCAUGCACAUGGAUGUACCAUACAGGAGGUAUGGGCUCCAUACCAUGCACAUGGAUGUACCAUACAGGAGGUAUGGGCUCCAUACCGUGCACACGGAUGCACCAUACAGAAGGUAUGGGCUCCAUACUGUGCACACGGAUGUACCAUACAGAAGGUAUGGGCUCCCAUACUGUGCACACGGGAUGUCCGGUGUUCAGGUGUGGGCCAUAGAGACCCUACAGAGGUCUCUAUGGGGUGCGGUGUGGCACGGGGUGCCCUGGGCAGGUUGGGGUACCCCAGCGCCCCUCACCCUGGCUGGG